AACGCACCUUGCGCUCUUGGGUUAUUCCUAAGAGCAUGCUUGUUUGAGUAACAGGAAGGCUCUACCCCGCUUUCUUUAUUGAGAGUAGACUUGGGUUAGGAUCAUGACAGUUGUGCUGGUUCUUGUUCAAUCAGCUCUGUCGAAAGACAAGCGGCCGAACUUUGAAAUUUGUUGCGAGCUUCGGCUAACUUAUUGUUGUAUAACUUUUAGUCUCGAUAAGUUUAAUGCGCGCUUUUCAAUUUAAGUAGGCUUUGAAAACUUAUCUAAAGUUUCCUAAAAGACUUUUAUUAGUCGGCGGAAUUCUUAUAACUUUUGGAUUUAAACUUUUUAUUGCUUGUUCUCAAAUCAAGUAGGACUACCCGCUGAACUUAA
This 372-nucleotide unclassified non-coding RNA is filed under the name uncultured Peniophorella. Its description in RNAcentral is "partial contains 5.8S ribosomal RNA, internal transcribed spacer 2, and large subunit ribosomal RNA". Lineage: Eukaryota; Fungi; Basidiomycota; Agaricomycetes; Corticiales; Corticiaceae. The record is from RNAcentral.